Molecule: ribosomal RNA, 404 nt
Filed under: uncultured prokaryote
Also listed under: 1 other name
Description: bacterial SSU rRNA
Rfam family: Bacterial small subunit ribosomal RNA
Source: RNAcentral
UGGGGAAUAUUGGACAAUGGGCGAAAGCCUGAUCCAGCAAUGCCGCGUGAGUGAUGAAGGCCUUAGGGUUGUAAAGCUCUUUUACCCGGGAUGAUAAUGACAGUACCGGGAGAAUAAGCUCCGGCUAACUUCGUGCCAGCAGCCGCGGUAAUACGAGGGGAGCUAGCGUUAUUCGGAAUUACUGGGCGUAAAGCGCACGUAGGCGGCUUUGUAAGUAAGGGGUGAAAGCCCAGAGCUCAACUCUGGAAUUGCCUUUUAGACUGCAUCGCUUGAAUCCAGGAGAGGUGAGUGGAAUUCCGAGUGUAGAGGUGAAAUUCGUAGAUAUUCGGAAGAACACCAGUGGCGAAGGCGGCUCACUGGACUGGUAUUGACGCUGAGGUGCGAAAGCGUGGGGAGCAAACAGG